AAGAAGUGUAUAUCAAAGCACAGAUUCGACAGACAAGAACAAAGGAAAAACUGAGUACUCUCAGAGAAGACAAUGAUGUAAAUAUAUUAAGACGAAGUCCAGAGAUUAAAUGGGUUCAACAAGAAAAAGGUCAUGUCAGAGUACCAAAAACUGUGGAUACGGAAUGGAACAAUCUUUGGUAUUUGAAUGACGAUGUUACCCCAACAAUGAAAGUCAGUAGCGCCUGGUCAGCAGGUUACUCUGGUUCUGGUAUAGUCAUUGCAGUAGUGGACGAUGGAUUACAAACCGACCAUCCAGAUCUAGCUGCAAAUGUUGAUACUAUUAAUGACAUAGACAUUUAUGGUGAGGAUAAUAAUCCGGAUUCUAAUACAGACAGUAGUCAUGGUACACAAGUAAGUGGAUUAAUUGCAGCGGUGAAAGAUAACAAUAUCUGUGUAGUUGGUGUCGCAUUUAACUCCACCCUCAUAGG
This is a long non-coding RNA of Mytilus californianus (California mussel), 469 nucleotides long. RefSeq lists it as uncharacterized. Lineage: Eukaryota; Metazoa; Mollusca; Bivalvia; Mytilida; Mytilidae. The record is from RefSeq and is a predicted model, not a curated record. The transcript has 5 exons.